CAGAUUCUAAGUAUGGACAGUAUGAAACUGUAGAGGAUUGAUACACAUUUUAAACUAUGUACAACAAUAAGUUACCAUUAGCUAAUUCGAAUUGGCUUAAGCUAAUAAAUGUCAUAACAGGUGUUCAACGAUAUUCAGGCAUUAAUGAACUGAAGGCUAGACAUAUGUUGUUACUAAUCUCACACAAGGCCUACCAGACCGAUGAACUACAGAAUACUUUAUCAAGAAAGUUUUAUUCAAAACAGAAAAAUGGCUCGAUUUUAGCUACAUUACGGAUCCCUUAUUCGAUUCUUAUUAUCUCGACAGAAGACAAACAAUUAACCUACUGCUAAAUGAUUCUAAGCUGAAUUAUCACUAAAAGCAAUCCAUAGUCUGGAUUAACAGUUAACAUCAAUGGGUAACAGUCCUAUUAACAAACCAUAAUACAAUAACCAUAGAUUAAAAACUGAGCAACUAUAAUGACUGACUAUUACUAAAUGUAGGAGUAAAUGACUCAAAAAAUGCUCAAACUAAGUUGAAAAACCCAACCCAUCAAUCCAGAAACGAAUGUCAACAACCAAAAACCCAGCAAAGCUCCCAAACUCUCGAAGUCUAACAGACCAGCUUGAAGUUGAAACCCAAACAACAAUACAAACAAACCAGGCACGAACACUUGAAAUCCCAAAGCAAUGCCAGAAAUCACAAAAGGAAACAGAACCGAAUGGAUCAAAGUGUGCAAUCCAAUAGUAAGUUCUGAUUUCUCUUUCUUCCCUCUUUCUUAGACUGAACUCUAAUGUGUAAAAUCCAUUUUCUAUUCAAAAUUCCAGUCUAUAUUUUUUACUCUCAAUGCCCUCUCUCGUUGAUUCAAAAGCUCUCUUAUUAUGUCCCAACUCUCUUCUAUUUAUAACUCAAGACAUACCUUUCCCCUUUUGAAAAACUUAACCAUCCGACCCCCAAAAUAACAAAGUCUGCCUACCCCUUUUGAAAAACUUACUCAAAGGUACUUUUCCCUUAAU
Molecule: long non-coding RNA, 995 nt
Filed under: Nicotiana benthamiana
Lineage: Eukaryota; Viridiplantae; Streptophyta; Magnoliopsida; Solanales; Solanaceae
Description: long non-coding RNA (NBEN_LNC031262)
Source: RNAcentral